UGCAAGCGUUAAUCGGAAUUACUGGGCGUAAAGCGCACGCAGGCGGUUUGUUAAGUCAGAUGUGAAAUCCCCGCGCUUAACGUGGGAACUGCAUUUGAAACUGGCAAGCUAGAGUCUUGUAGAGGGGGGUAGAAUUCCAGGUGUAGCGGUGAAAUGCGUAGAGAUCUGGAGGAAUACCGGUGGCGAAGGCGGCCCCCUGGACAAAGACUGACGCUCAGGUGCGAAAGCGUGGGGAGCAAGCAGGAUUAGAUACCCUGGUAGUCCACGCUGUAAACGAUGUCGACUUGGAGGUUGUGCCCUUGAGGCGUGGCUUCCGGAGCUAACGCGUUAAGUCGACCGCCUGGGGAGUACGGCCGCAAGGUUAAAACUCAAAUGAAUUGACGGGGCCCGCACAAGCGGUGGAGCAUGUGGUUUAAUUCGAUGCAACGCGAAGAACCUUACCUACUCUUGACAUCCACGGAAUUCGCCAGAGAUGGCUUAGUGCCUUCGGGAACCGUGAGAUAGGUGCUGCAUGGCUGUCGUCAGCUCGUGUUGUGAAAUGUUGGGUUAAGUCCCGCAACGAGCGCAACCCUUAUCCUUUGUUGCCAGCACGUAGUGGUGGGAACUCAAAGGAGACUGCCGGUGAUAAACCGGAGGAAGGUGGGGAUGACGUCAAGUCAUCAUGGCCCUUACGAGUAGGGCUACACACGUGCUACAAUGGCAUAUACAAAGAGAAGCGAACUCGCGAGAGCAAGCGGACCUCAUAAAGUAUGUCGUAGUCCGGAUUGGAGUCUGCAACUCGACUCCAUGAAGUCGGAAUCGCUAGUAAUCGUAGAUCAGAAUGCUACGGUGAAUACGUUCCCGGGCCUUGUACACACCGCCCGUCACACCAUGGGAGUGGGUUGCAAAAGAAGUAGGUAGCUUAACCUUCGGGAGGGCGCUUACCACUUUGUGAUUCAUGACUGGGGUGAAGUCGUA
RNAcentral lists this ribosomal RNA (957 nucleotides) under uncultured bacterium. Its description in RNAcentral is "bacterial SSU rRNA". It matches the Rfam family "Bacterial small subunit ribosomal RNA", at positions 533 to 1490 of the family's 1533-position model. The record is from RNAcentral.